UUGAAUUAGUGAUUUUUGUGAUUUAUUGAAUUUUGUGAUUUAAAAAGAAUUUAAUAGGUAAAUUGGGUCUAAAACGAGGUAUCGAGACCUCGAGUUCAUAAGCCGAACCAUAAAUAUUUUUAUAAAUAUUUAUGGAGUGUCAUUGAGUUAGUACAAAAGUUUCGUUAGAAAAUUUUAACGUUUGGAUAGUCAAUUAAUUAAAAAGGACUAAAUUGGAAAUAGUGCAAAAUUUGUUA
This 236-nucleotide long non-coding RNA is filed under the name Gossypium raimondii (Peruvian cotton). RNAcentral's name for it is "long non-coding RNA (GRAI_LNC005777)". Lineage: Eukaryota; Viridiplantae; Streptophyta; Magnoliopsida; Malvales; Malvaceae. The record is from RNAcentral.